AGAGAGAGUUAAAAUACACGCGUUUCAAAUCCUGCAUGGGAGUUGGCGUAGUUGAUUUCUUUUAAUGAAGCAGCUGGCAAAUACAUACGAAGAAAGAAACUGAAAUUUCAUACAAAACCUGAGGAGCCUUCGUAAUACUGGUCGUGUGAGCAACUGUCAAUAUCGUUCCCGAUGUCUUGACUUGGUAAUUUCGGCGUCCAGUUUCAAUCUAAAAAUUACCCUUGAGAUUCUUGUCUCACAGUGAGGGUAAGACUAAUUACCGUGUAACUAAUGUGCAACUUAAGAAUGAUUUACAUUGAAAAUUGUGUCGAGGAGUAAAAUAUAUUUUCAGAAUUGCU
This is a long non-coding RNA of Macrobrachium nipponense, 338 nucleotides long. RefSeq lists it as uncharacterized. The transcript is spliced from 2 exons. NCBI's taxonomy places the organism in Eukaryota, Metazoa, Arthropoda, Malacostraca, Decapoda, Palaemonidae. The record is from RefSeq and is a predicted model, not a curated record.